This is a long non-coding RNA of Carassius auratus (goldfish), 2137 nucleotides long. RefSeq lists it as uncharacterized. The record is from RefSeq and is a predicted model, not a curated record. Lineage: Eukaryota; Metazoa; Chordata; Actinopteri; Cypriniformes; Cyprinidae. The transcript is spliced from 2 exons.
GUUUGGAUGUAUUGAGCAUACCUUCACCUCACCCACCCCCACCAGCCGACCCCCGAGGAAACGCAUGGUUGUCAAUAGAGUUUAACAAUAGAGUUUCUUCAGCUCUUCUCAUUUCUUCUGGUUUAAUGCUGCAUUCCGUCAUUUCCUCCAUUUCUCCGAAAUUAUCAUCCGAAGCCAACACAACCCCGAUCGGUUUUUUUUAUUCAAAACUAAUCCGAAGUAAAUAUCCAAGUAUGCGGGAGGAGUUUUUUUUUUUUAAAUGCAUCCUUCUCAGUUUUUCAUGUGAAGGCUGCUGAUGCAUCAAUCUUUCUGAUAAAGACCAUUACAUUUAUGCUUUCAUUAUAAGAUCCGAAGCAGCUCCCAUCUUCAGUUCCCAAAAUCUGGAUAAACAUGACGAUCUUCUUUUCUGUGCUGCCAUCGUGUGGUCCAUUACAAGCUGAAAUGUAGGCUACAGUUAAUUGAUAUUCCACAAGUAAUUAUGCUAUUCAUAUUUCGUUGCUUUCAUGUGCAUUCAAAUACUUAAUAUAUUGUAUGAACGUAAAUAUGUAUAAUGCAUAUAAUUUUGUCUUUCGCAGUGGGAUUUAUUCAUUUUCUGCAUGAGUUAAUCAAUAAUUUAUUUAAAUUGACAUUGCACAAUCCGCGCGCACCUCAACACAUGCGACCGGAACCGGAAAUAUGAUACAGAAAUGAAGGAGAAUGCAAAUAAGUGCAAUGUAAAACAGCCUACAGGAAAGAGUUUAUCUUUUAAAAGUUGUUUUAUACAUGUUUGAAAAUAAAUCAAAUUAAGAAAACUCCUAUUUUCAAUAGGUUUCGCGCACCUUUGGAUCAACUUGUUUGGAGAAUAACUUGUCCUUUCGUUUGUAACUGGACUUUUUUUAAUCUAAGAAAGAAAUCAGUGGCAAAGAUCAUUUAGAAAUUAAAACUAUUGUAGUUAAGCAUAAUUGAAGGGGGAAAAAACUUCCAUUACCUGUCAGUCAUCUUAAUUACAACUGCAUGUGUUACUUUUAUAUAUUAUAGGCCAUGUAUUUUAACAGCUAUUAACUGCUGUUUACACACGUACCUUAAGUUUUUAUAUAAAAUAUAAAAGUAUAAUUUUAAGUAAAGUAAUAGAUUAAUAGUGAUUGAUCUGUCGAUGUCAUGGACCUCGGGGAAAAAUAACUAUUUUUUCAAAUAUUACAGUUUUGGAGACGUGAUUCUGCCACCAGGAGGAGACAGGAAUACACUGUACAGAUUCACACUACAGUAAUCAUAAUAUUCACGACAGAAUUUUGAUCAACUACGAGUAAUCCAGUCUAAUUUAAAACCCCAAGUUUCAGAAAUCUUAUGAUCAGAACUUAAACAGCAAUAAAUGCUUUUUUUCUUCUUCAUCACAUUACGAAAACAUUUCAUUCUCACAGAUUUCGAUUCCAAAAACUGUGUGCACCAUCACAAUUGAAGGUUAUCAGACUGGAGGGAAUACAUUUAAAUGAAAAUAUUUUGAAAUACUUCUCAAAAAUACUUCGAUCAAAUAAAAAAAAAAAAACAGGAUUUCUGCAGGUUAUGUAAAAGUAUAUUUAAAACUUUUUAAGACCAAGUUUAAAUCAAGAUAGAUUUAUUUGAGAAGUAAAAUUACAUUAAAUAGUAAGUCUUGUUUUUUGAGAAACUAAUCAAACUGCGAGUUUUGCUGUAAGCAUAAACUCACUUUAUUUUGUUCAGUUUCUCAGAAAACAAGGCUUAUUCAUUUUGCAUCUCAAGUUAAUGUAUAUCGAUUUAAGGAUCUUUAGAUAUUUGAAGGGGGGGGGGGGUGCAACUGGCUGAGGAAAAUAUUGCUUUCUUGAAAUGCAUGCAACAUUUAAUAACAUCACUAUGAAUUUAUUGAAUGUUUGGUCCUAUUUAAGACCUUUAUUUGUGGAAGAGUGAAUUAAGAUGUUUUUUUAUAACUCACAGAAACCCUGAAAACUCAACAUUGCAAACUCUCCAUGCUUGAAUAAACGGGACCAACAUGUAACUUAAACAAGCUUAUUUUUAAUGGAUCUGCAAAAUCGUUUGAAUUUCCAAAGAGAACACUCCCCUCCCUGACACGUAUCUGGACCAGAAGAGAUACUUCCUGUCAAUUACAAACAUGGCAAAACUUACAAAAGACCCCAAAACCCCCAAA